GGCUCGGUGGUGGAUGGUCCACACCUGCGGCAACUGGCUUUUGGAGGCGAUCCCAAUUCAGCAGGCAACGCCCGUUCGACUCGGGCCCGAGCCA
Mycena polygramma is the source of this 94-nucleotide non-coding RNA. Lineage: Eukaryota; Fungi; Basidiomycota; Agaricomycetes; Agaricales; Mycenaceae. The record is from the annotation of a GenBank genome assembly.